RNAcentral lists this ribosomal RNA (402 nucleotides) under bacterium. RNAcentral's name for it is "partial 16S ribosomal RNA". It matches the Rfam family "Bacterial small subunit ribosomal RNA", at positions 355 to 776 of the family's 1533-position model. The record is from RNAcentral.
UGGGGAAUUUUGCACAAUGGGGGAAACCCUGAUGCAGCGACGCCGCGUGAUUUAGAAGGCCUUCGGGUUGUAAAAAUCUUUUCUAUGGGAAGAAAAUGACAGUACCAUAGGAAUAAGGACCGGCUAAUUACGUGCCAGCAGCCGCGGUAAUACGUAAGGUCCGAGCGUUGUCCGGAAUCAUUGGGCGUAAAGGGUACGUAGGCGGGUAAGCAAGUUAGAAGUGAAAUCCUAUAGCUCAACUAUAGUAAGCUUUUAAAACUGCUCAUCUUGAGGUAUGGAAGGGAAAGUGGAAGUCCUAGUGUAGCGGUGACAUGCGCAGAUAUUAGGAGGAAUACCGGUGGCGAAGGCGACUUUCUGGCCAUAACCUGACGCUGAGGUACGAAAGCGUGGGUAGCAAACAGG